Molecule: ribosomal RNA, 493 nt
Filed under: uncultured bacterium
Lineage: Bacteria
Description: partial 16S ribosomal RNA
Rfam family: Bacterial small subunit ribosomal RNA
Source: RNAcentral
AGUGAACGCUGGCGGUAGGCCUAACACAUGCAAGUCGAACGGCAGCACAGUAAGAGCUUGCUCUUACGGGUGGCGAGUGGCGGACGGGUGAGGAAUACAUCGGAAUCUACUUUUUCGUGGGGGAUAACGUAGGGAAACUUACGCUAAUACCGCAUACGACCUACGGGUGAAAGCAGGGGGACCUUGGGACCUGGCGGGAUGGAAUAGGCCGAUGUCGGAUUAGCUGGUUGGCGGGGUAAAGGCCCACCAAGGCGACGAUCCGUAGCUGGUCUGAGAGGAUGAUCAGCCACACUGGAGCUGAGACACGGUCCAGACUCCUACGGGAGGCAGCAGUGGGGAAUAUUGGACAAUGGGCGCAAGCCUGAUCCAGCCAUACCGCGUGGGUGAAGAAGGCCUUCGGGUUGUAAAGCCCUUUUGUUGGGAAAGAAAAGCAGCAGGUUAAUACCCCGCUGUUCUGACGGUACCCAAAGAAUAAGCACCGGCUAACUUCGUG